CCUACGGGAGGCAGCAGUAGGGAAUAUUGCUCAAUGGGGGAAACCCUGAAGCAGCAACGCCGCGUGGAGGAUGAAGGUUUUCGGAUUGUAAACUCCUUUUGUCAGAGAAGAUAAUGACGGUAUCUAAACUAUAAGCACCGGCUAACUCCGUGCCAGCAGCCGCGGUAAUACGGAGGGUGCAAGCGUUACUCGGAAUCCCUGGGCGUAAAGGGCGCGUAGGCGGGCUAGCAAGUCAGAUGUGAAAGCCUCGGGGUAAACCAUAGGUCUGCAUUUGAAACUGUUAGUCUAGAGUAUGGGAGGGGUAGGUGGAAUUCUUGGUGUAGGGGUAAAAUCCGUAGAGAUCAAGAGGAAUACUCGUGGCGAAGGCGACCUGCUAGAACAUAACUGACGCUGAUGCGCGAAAGCGUGGGGAGCGAACAGGAUUAGAUACCCCUGUAGUC
Molecule: ribosomal RNA, 440 nt
Filed under: uncultured bacterium
Lineage: Bacteria
Description: partial 16S ribosomal RNA
Rfam family: Bacterial small subunit ribosomal RNA
Source: RNAcentral